UGGGGAAUAUUGGACAAUGGGCGAAAGCCUGAUCCAGCCAUGCCGCGUGUGUGAAGAAGGUCUUCGGAUUGUAAAGCACUUUAAGUUGGGAGGAAGGGCAUUAACCUAAUACGUUAGUGUUUUGACGUUACCGACAGAAUAAGCACCGGCUAACUCUGUGCCAGCAGCCGCGGUAAUACAGAGGGUGCAAGCGUUAAUCGGAAUUACUGGGCGUAAAGCGCGCGUAGGUGGUUUGUUAAGUUGGAUGUGAAAGCCCCGGGCUCAACCUGGGAACUGCAUCCAAAACUGGCAAGCUAGAGUACGGUAGAGGUUGGUGGAAUUUCCUGUGUAGCGAUGAAAUGCGUAGAUAUAGGAAGGAACACCAGUGGCGAAGGCGACCACCUGGACUGAUACUGACACUGAGGUGCGAAAGCGUGGGGAGCAAACA
RNAcentral lists this ribosomal RNA (427 nucleotides) under uncultured bacterium. Its description in RNAcentral is "partial 16S ribosomal RNA". It matches the Rfam family "Bacterial small subunit ribosomal RNA", at positions 355 to 774 of the family's 1533-position model. The record is from RNAcentral.